UGGGGAAUUUUGGACAAUGGGGGAAACCCUGAUCCAGCCAUCCCGCGUGUGCGAUGAAGGCCUUCGGGUUGUAAAGCACUUUUGGCAGGAAAGAAACGUCGCGGGUUAAUACCCCGCGGAACUGACGGUACCUGCAGAAUAAGCACCGGCUAACUACGUGCCAGCAGCCGCGGUAAUACGUAGGGUGCAAGCGUUAAUCGGAAUUACUGGGCGUAAAGCGUGCGCAGGCGGUUCGGAAAGAAAGAUGUGAAAUCCCAGAGCUUAACUUUGGAACUGCAUUUUUAACUACCGGGCUAGAGUGUGUCAGAGGGAGGUGGAAUUCCGCGUGUAGCAGUGAAAUGCGUAGAUAUGCGGAGGAACACCGAUGGCGAAGGCAGCCUCCUGGGAUAACACUGACGCUCAUGCACGAAAAGCGUGGGGAGCAAACAGGAUUAGAUACCCUGGUAGUCCACGCCCUAAACGAUGUCAACUAGCUGUUGGGGUCUUCGGACCUUGGUAGCGCAGCUAACGCGUGAAGUUGACCGCCUGGGGAGUACGGUCGCAAGAUU
This 548-nucleotide ribosomal RNA is filed under the name uncultured bacterium. Its description in RNAcentral is "partial 16S ribosomal RNA". It matches the Rfam family "Bacterial small subunit ribosomal RNA", at positions 355 to 895 of the family's 1533-position model. The record is from RNAcentral.